RNAcentral lists this small nuclear RNA (283 nucleotides) under Tupaia belangeri (northern tree shrew). Its description in RNAcentral is "7SK RNA (ENSTBEG00000020423.1)". It matches the Rfam family "7SK RNA". Rfam says of the family: 7SK was discovered as an abundant small nuclear RNA in the mid-70s but a possible function has only recently been suggested. Two independent studies have found that 7SK RNA binds the CDK9/cyclin T complex (known as elongation factor P-TEFb). The record is from RNAcentral. Lineage: Eukaryota; Metazoa; Chordata; Mammalia; Scandentia; Tupaiidae.
AGAUGUGAGGGCGAUCUGGCUGUGACAUCUGUCACCCCACUGAUCGCCAGGGCUGAUUCGGCUGAGCUGGCUGGGCCGGCGUCCCCCUCCUCCCUCACCGCUCCGCGCGCGUCCCUUCCGAAGCUGCGUGCUCGGGGGAAGAGGACGACCAUCGACGGAGGAAGACAGUUCUUCACUCAGGGGUACGUGGUCGCGCUCCCCGCCACAGCCUCCAAACGAGCUCUGGAGGUCCGCUGCAGGAGGCGGAGGGGGCUACAUUCCCACUCCAGGCACAUCCCGAUCA